AGAGUGUGAUGUGAAAGCUGCGAGAGAGUAAACUUUCCCUCUAAAACGUCUUUUACUGUUGUUCAUCUCUAAAACGAAGGAGAUCCAAGAGUCAGGUCAGUUCUAGAUUGAAACAUAUUGGUCAACCUUUCUGUUUGGAGUUUGCAUGUUGUCCUUGUGGCUGCAUCACUUUUCUCCAGGUGUUGUGGCGUCCUUCUACAGUCCAAAUACAUUCAUGGCAGAUUAAUUGGGGAUUCUAAACUUGCCACUAGUGCGAGUAUAAAUCUGUUUUUACCCAGUGUCUGCUGGGAAAUGGUCCAGUGUUCCGCUACAGGUUAAAGCAGGUAUAUAAUGGAUGACUGGAUGAAAUAUUAGCAAGGGGCUUUACAAUCUGUACAUUAUACAUGAGUCUUUGUCCGUAGAUCCUUGAUUUAAAUCAGGAAAAACUCCCCCAAAAAAAACUCUCUAAGGGAAGAGAACAGGGAAGAAGCCUCAGAGAGAUAAACUGUGGACAGACAUGAUGAACAAUAAGUGCUGCACAGAAGCGUAAUAUAGCAGAUUAACAAUAUAGAUACAUACAUACACUAUCAUUCAAAAAUAUGGGGUCACCCAGGCAAUUUCAUGUUUUCCAUGAAAACUCACGGUUUUAUUCAUGCGCUAGCAUAAUUGCACAAGGGUUUCCUAAUCAUCAAUUAGCCUUUCAACACCAUUAGCUAACACAAUGUAGCAUUAGAACACAGGAGUGAUGGUUUCUGGAAAUGUUCCUCUGUACCCCUAUGGAGAUAUUCCAUUAAAAAUCAGCCGUUUCCAGCUAGAAUAGGUAUUGAAUUGUAUUUAGCACUUAGUUCAGUGAAUCCUCACGUACAUUACGUUUCUAUUAGAGGUGCAGAGUCUCCAUGCAAUGCGUCAGGAGCUUUGUCUACUGCCAUCCUCAUCAUAAUGUGUGGAACUCCAACACAAACAUAACAAGCUCAAAAUCUACUCUAAUGCAUGUGUUCCCUAGUAACUAAAUGUUCUACAUACUCUGAUAGUCACCCAAACAUAUGUAAGAUAUUGUAUUUAUUCAUUUGCAUAUGGACAUAUCCAGUCUAAUAAAACAAAGAAAUGAGAUGAGUAUAUGCAUGUACUGUCCAGUAGAAAGGUGAGGCCAAAAUAUAAGACCCGUUGACUAUGUAAAUGUGGCCUUAAAAAAGAAAUGUAUAUCAUUUUGCAGCUGUUGGCCUCACAGGGUUAACUAAACCUGUCAGUAUCGCUUAUCUACUAAUGAGAGGAACCAUUUCAGGAAGGGUCAGAUUCUUUGCAUUCACACGCUAAUAAAGGGUGGGAGGGUCAGCAGGGACUCGUACACUGGUUCCCACUGUAUCUCAACCCUCCUACAGUGCAGCACUGUGUGAAAAAUAACCCUGUACGGAUUGGAGUUCCUCUUUGUUUGCUCUGAGGUGUACAAAUGUUUUCUUUGGCCUCCUCAGCUCAGCCCACAUGGCAGCAGUCUGGAGACGUUUUCCCGCCAAAACACAUGGCAGCGAAGGCAGCACAGACGAGCAGAGGGAGGCUUACCAAAUCGAAGACUGCUAGGUUAUUUAGUUGUCAAAUGUAAUGCUCAGGGCUGCACAGUGGAGUAGUGGUUAGCACUUUCGCCUUGCAGCAAGAAGGUCCCUGGUUCGCGUCCCGGCUUUCCCGGGAUCUUUCUGCGUGGAGUUUGCAUGUUCUCCCUGUGCAUACGUGGGUUCUCUCUGGGUACUCCAGCUUCCUCCCACAGUCCAAAAAAUAUGCUGAGGUUAAUUGAUCAUUCUAAAUUGCCCGUAGGUGUGAAUGUGAGAGUGAUUGUUUGUCUAUAUAUGUAGCCCUGCGACAGACUGGCGACCUGUCUAGGGUGUCCCCUGCCUUCGCCCGAGUCAGCUGGGAUAAACUCCAGCCCCCCCGCGACCCUAGUGAGGAUUAAGCGGUGUAUAGAUAAUGGAUGGAUGGAUGGAUGUAAUGCUCAGACAAGUGCAUAAAGUCUGACAGAGGAUGUUUCACCUUGAUGUAGUUCCAAAAAUGUCCUUUUUCACUUCAAGCCUCAUUGUCUGUUGUUUAACCCGAUGACUGCAGCUUUAAUGAAGGAAAACAUCAUUUUUUCCCCCUCCACUCUGUUCAGUCUUUUUUUCCACAGACCAGCGUUGGUUUGGUUUGAUUUUAUGCUCCAACUUUUCACUAUUUAUCAUUUCAGCGGUUACAGUUGGAUCGGUGGGUUCAAAGACGUCAAAUCUUCAGCCUCUUCCCUUUUUUUCAGUUAUGUAACCUCAUUGAUGCUGUUUUCUCAGUUUUUUUUCAAAGCUUUUCUGCUGUUGCUGAUGCUCAUCUCUUGGCUGGGACACUAAUACUUAUUUAUGGCUGUGGAAGUUAGAUAAAUAAAUGAACAAAAGCAAAGGAAUUUCGGUGAAUGCAACUACCUCAUACGGGUGCAAAAAUAACCACCUCACUUCUGUGCACUACCACUCACAAUGCAUAUAUUACUGCUGCUAGUACAAUUGUGUUUUUAUGUAGAGUUUUAGAGUUUGAGAAUGUUUUAAAGCGUAUAUUGUUUGUGCACUUAAGGAGUGGCUCUUUAAAUUCCGUUGUACUUUGUAUAAUGACAAUAAAGGCUUUCUAUUCUAGGAAUCACGCAAAAAAAUACUGCUGUUUGCCCGCUUGGGAUAGUAACCACAACCUUGCAAGUAGACCAUAUAUUCAUAAGCAUAUCUCCCUUUUGUUUCUGCUUUUCCUUCUGAAUAUUAACACCAACUGAACCCUGUGCAGCCAAGUCAAACACCAGAUAACCAGUAGCAGGGAUGAAAAUGAAUACCUUAACAAUCAAUGGAUCUUGCAGUCAGAAGUCAAGUUGUACAUUUGGCUUUUCUACCCAACGGCUUCAAACAAAACAAGAAAAGCAGCUCAACACUCUUCCAAAUGUAUUUCCAUCAGCCAGGCACCAAAAGCUAGUAGACAUCCUUAAUAUAUGUACGUAAUGACCACCUUCUGACCAAGCAUAUCAUCAAUCUGAGCAUAUUUCUCUCAUAUUUAGAUAACUGCUGUAAUUUACUUCUAUAAGCCCUGUUAUCUUUUGAAUUAUUGGUUUACAGUUCUGGCUCUUGAAGAACUUGAACUGGCUUUAGACUAUGAACAGAGCAUCUGUGAACUAUUAUAUCAAAACAUUCUUCCCACAAAGUUUGCUACUCAGAGAAAAAAAAAAACAAAGUUUGGAGUUCAGAUUUUUACCAAGUAUGACCAAAUCUGGACACACAUUCUGCUAAGAGUAAUUUAUAUUUUUAUAAGAUUUUACUUUAUUCACAGUUUCUUUCUGACUCCACCAACAACACACUGAGUACAAUUCAUCUUCAUCAGAAACUGUACAAUCAGGACACUAAUCAUUCCUUCACUUUCACUCUCUAGAGCAGCUUGAUGGUCCCACUAAAUUACCAUUUUGUUUUCAUUAGAUUAUUUUUUUUUAAUUGCUAAACACUAGCAGUGAUUCAGAACUCUGGAAUCAGACUUAGAAGAUCUUGAAUAUUUACAACCAAACCUAAAACUGUUACAUUAAUCCGAAUACACCGACUGCACAGAUCUCCUCAAUAAACAUGUAUGCUUUACAACAAAAAGUCUGCACAAACCCAAAUCAGACGAUUCUUUGAACUACGAUGUGAGAAACUCCUCUGCAGUGUUGCAUUAGCAGUGAAGUGAGCUGAAACUCCUCCUCAAAAACAGUUUUGAGGAGGAUGUGUGAGAUUUCAGAGAUUCCUGCCAGUUCAGUGUAUGUGCACCAAACAGAAAAUACAUCCAGGUCCUUCAAUGGGGUCAGUGACAGAUGUUGAUCUGUGCAUCUGUGCCUUGACAACACAGAAACUGCAGGUUCACCAGAGGUUUUAAGGGUAGAUUUCUCAUUAUUAGAUGCAUUACAAGAAUGAAUUUCAAUUAGAGGCUUCUUUAACUCCUCUCCAGUGAGGACAGUUACAGGAAGUCAUUCCUGCCCGCUGCAAUAAUGCUGUACACUGCCGUAGAGAGAAGACUUGUCUUUGCACAUUCAACUUUAAUUUUCACUUUGGGAAUUUCAACUUAUCUCAUCUUUAGUCUUUGUUGUUUUGUUUUCUUUUUAUCUAGUAUGAUUUUUUAAAAUUGUGUUUUUUAUGAGGGUUUCGUGACAUGCAAAUUACUGCUGCAACAUUACAGUUUCUCUCAGGGGAUCAGUAAAGUACUCUAGCUUAAGUAUAUUAGAAUAACAAAACAUGUUGAUAUAUAAAAAAGAUUAUCCUGUAAAUGUAAAACAGACUGGAUCUGUACACUGCUGAAUCUGGUAUUCUCCGGGGGCACCAACACUUGGCUGGUCUUGAACCAAGAACUACAGAAACUGGGGCUGGGAUUACUAAUCCAGAGAAGAAGAAGAAAAAAAAACAGAUUCAGUAUUGAUGUUAAAAUUUGAAGUAGUAGUGUAUCAAAAACCCGAUAUAGUCAUUAUCUGCCAGAUUUUUGACUGCUAAAGAAGUUUUAAUACGGCUAGCUGGUGUUUGUAAGUGGCUUUUGUAAUCCCUGUCUUUGAUAUUCACCCUUUGAAAUGGCAUUUUUUUCUUUUAUAUUUUUUAACUAAUAGUUGAACGCUGGACAGCAUACAUAAAUGUUUUUAAAAGCACUGCUCCCUCUAAGCUGCGUACGUGCGCAAUUGCGCACUGCUGACACGGUCUCCGCGCACAGAAAUUCUGCGCUGCGCACAAAAAAAAAUCCAACCAAAAUUGUAAAUAAAAUAAACACGUAACAAUUCAUUCUGUGCUAUUUUUCAAUGUGAGUCAGUUAGUGACCGGUGACUGGCUGCUGCAGCCAAUGAUGCGAUUCACAUACGUAUUUACCAUAGACUGUAUAUAAUGGUAUUUACGCAGCUAAUCAACGUCAGGUGUCCUUAUGUGCAGCCAUCGUUGUUGUCAUAGAUAUGAAUGAGUAGAUAGGACACGCCCCUUUGAGCUGCGGCUACGGCGAGGCUAAGCUAGUGGGGGCAAGGUUUCAGUGCAUUCCGUUGAUUUACACGGCGUGAAAACGGAAACAACAAGUAUGCCGGCUCACUGUGCUGCAUACAGUUACACACUGCGUCGUACGAUUGAGACAAGCAAACUUGGAAUGACUUUUCAUAGGUUUCCCAGAGACUGUGGGUUGAGGAGGAAUUGGAAGUUUGUCGGCUUAGACCUGGUGUCAUUCCAUCAGUGUUAAACUUCCCGGCUCAUCUUGGAAGAGUACGUGCCAGAAAGACCACGACCAAGCAGCCUUGAGAUCUUAGGCAGCGUCUCCCUCAGGUCCCUCUCUAUCUCCCCACACAUCCACCAACCACUGGAACACAUCUGCAAAGUUCUGCCAGGCCAGCUCAGCUUCCCCUCAGAAGAAGUGGUGCCACCUGCCAGAUGAAGGAGCCUUUUGAGAGGCAGCUGGCAUCGUGAUUGGACUGUACUUUGGUCUGUUCCAAUCCAGCUUCAGCUCCAGAGACGGCAGGCGGGACGAGUCAACGGAGGCCGGAUGGACGAAGGCAUGCAGCUGAGUACAAUCCAGAAAACAACAGAGGAGGAGUGCAGCAUCCCAGGGCCAGAACAGAGUAGCAUCAUAUGUCUCUUAGAAAACAUCAUAGUAUAGCCUUUGGUAUGAAAAAAACACCAUCAUAUACAUCGUAGAUUGUACAAAUAAUAAGUCAAAGGAAAGAGACAUACAUUGUAGAAUUGUAGUAACUGUGGGCUGACUGAUUUACUGAAUAUCAGUAUUUUAUUUUUUACUGAUUUACGGUAAUAAAUACAUUUAAAAAUGGCGCUACUUUGGCUCUGAACCUUUAUCUACCUGUGGUUGCUCUGUCUUCUGGAGUGAUUUGAUUGGUUAUACGUAACGAAUAAAACUCCUUUAACUUUACAUCUGUAAACAAAACGAAAACGUAUCAACAAAGUUUUCUGUCAGAGUUUGUGUUCUUCUAAGUUUAACUCAAGAUUUUAAAUACUUUCAUUUACUGCAAAUGAAUAUCUACUCCAAAUGUCUCACAAAUAAUCAUUAUCAGCCUUAAAAACCCACAAAACACCCCUCUAUACUCGACCACACUUAGUACAGUUCGGUUCCCCCUUCUAUAAAUCUGCUUGGAAUCGUCCACUUCCUGUUUGUCAAAGUGGCCUUCUACCUGGACAGGUUUUGUUGGAGCUCAUGCAACAAACAUUUUGGGUAACUGCACUUUAAUAUGGAUGGAUGACACUGAAUUAGAGUCUGUUUUAAUGAGACUGAGUUAAGAUGUGUAGCUCUGUCAUUAAAUAGGAAAUUAUUUCUCAGAAUUCACAGAGAAAAGUCUGAAAUGUUUGCUAGGUUAGCAUCCCACAUGUUCUUUGGCUCAGCUAAAGCUAACUCUCUCCAACUUCUGGAUCUCUUGAGUUGCUUGUUGUUAAAUUAUCUUGCUAGAGGUGCUGAAGCUCAGAAAGUCUGAGAUGUUUGUUCAAAAUAAGCUCAUUCUCAAGUCCUAUCUGAACUGUCUUCUUUUGUUUUAACUUUCCCUAAACUUAAGAGUUAAUGACAGAGCAGCACAUCCAGAGUCAGUCUCAUUUAUGUAGAGAUUAAUCUUCAGUGUCAUUCAUUGAUGUUAAAGUGCAGUUUUUCAAAUGUUUGUUGCACAUGCUCCCGACCAAAGCAGUCCAGGUGGAAGAUGAUGUGAAGAGAAAGCUCCAGAGGAUGAAUAUCACACAUUUACAUUGGAAAUAAAUGUCCUUUAAUUAGACAUUGUCAUGCAAAAGUUGGAUUUCCCUUUAAUGAUGUUCAAAUCUUUGUUGAGUGUUUUGUUGAUGUUGGUUUCUAAAUGUUUUCUGACACUCGGCCCCAAAGAUUAAAACUUUUCACGGCUCACAAGCUGCAACAAUUCACACAUUAUCAACUAUCUUUCUGACUAAACUAAGAUAAAAAGUGAAAAACUGCCUGAUUCCUGCAUCAUGAAUGUAAAUCUUUUUGGUUUUUAUGACGGUAAACUGAAUAUAUUUGGGCUUGACAUCUUAUAAACCAAAACAAGAAAUGAAUUACUGGAGAAAACAAUCAACAGAUUAAUGGACAAAGAAAAUGUGUUUUCCAACAUAUAUGGCUGAAUUACUCCAACGUUACAAAAUACAUACACUUUUAAUUCAAUUUUAUUUAUAUAACCCCAAUUACAGGUCAAAUUGUCUCAAGAUGCUUUAUUUUUUAUACUUUUUUGUCAUAUUUAAAAUAUGACAAAGUAAGAAAUUUAGACCUCUUGACUAAUCCAAUUUAUUAUUUAGUUUUUAAGAGACUAAUUGACAAUUCAGACUUUCUCCACUAAAACUAAUAAACAUGAGGUCAAAUAGAAGGAACAGUUUUAAAUACUGCAGUCCCACGAUGACAAGAAUAAAGUUCCUCAACAAAAACUUAAUCUGCUGGUGGAUUCCAUUAAAGUCCUAAGAAAUGAUAAUAAAGUGUGAUACUAAAGGUUUGUGGUGCUAAAAAUCUCAAAGAUAUCAAGUUGAACAUCUGGAUGGAGGUUGAUAAAAGUUGACCUUCUUUCAUUUCUCUGGAGCUGACUCCAUGGAUUUUAUGGAUGGUGGUUAAAGACCUGCUCUUCUAGUGGUCUUCCUUCUAGUCGCUGUAAAAAGUCAGUCCAUCCUGGCUGACUUCAACACCUCUUCAUGACAACUUGUUCUGCCUCCGACCUCGUGGAAACUCAAGAAACUCGGGGAAACCUGUCGAGACUCAAGGAACUCAUCGAGACUCGAAGAACUCGUCGGGCGGGGGAAGGUGUGGUGGGUGGUGGGGGAGUAGAGGGGGGAGGCCGCCACCCACCUCCCCGCCUACUCUCCGCCCUGACUCCACCCAGACUCCGCCUUGGCUCAGCCCAUGUGGUGACUUCAGGAACUACGAUGCCAAAGGGACGACGAAAUUAUUUCUUUGUAUCUGAUCUGUAGCUCAGUGAGUUAAGGAUUUGCCUAUGGAGCUGCAGGUCGCUGGUUCAAGACCAGACCAUUCUUAAAUUUUUAUCAAAAGAUUGACAAAGACAAAGAAAGAAAACUGCCAGUGGCGGGUCUUGAACCUGCGACCUUCCACUUGGUAGUCCUCUUCUUAUCCUCCUGAGCUACUCGCUCAGAUGCUAAUUCUUCUUUUUUUUGCGCAUUUAUCAUCUAUUUUUUGUCGUUUUCGAGUUUUUUUUUUAACUGGAGUCUCGACUCGACCGUUUUUCUCAGGAGGUUGGGCUUCAGCCUUUGUUCUGGAGGGUGGAACCCUCAGUUCCAAGACUUUCCAAAGCCUCCACACCUCCCGAGUCCUCAGGACCUGAGCUUUCACACAGUCUGAGGGCUGAAAUUUUCUAAGUCCCACAGUAGUUCUCUGUUAGAUUGAACCUUCAGACAGUCCAAGGACUGAAAUCUUCUAAGUUUCUGAGUAGUUCUCUGUUAGUUUGAACCUUUCGACAGUCUGAGGACUGAAAACCUCAAAGUUCUUGAGCAGUUCUCUGUUAGUUUGAACCUUCAGACAGUCUGAGGGCUGAAGUUUUAAAAGUUUCUCAGUACUUCUCUGCUAGUUUGAACCUUCAGACACUCUGAGGACUGAAAACCUAAAAGUUAUUGAGUAGUUCUCUGUUAGUUUGAACCUUCAGACAGUCUGAGGACUGAAAUCUUAAAAGUUUCUCAGUACUUCUCUGUUAGUUUGAACUUUCUAGUUAACAGAAGCCUUAAAACUUGUGACCAUGAGUCUUGAUUUCACAUUUAGACCAUCUGAGUUCUUCUCAGACUUUCACCUGUGGGUUUUUUAGAAAUCCUGACCAAACUUUGAUUCUCUUCACUGAACAAUAAAGUUUGUGGAGCUCAGAAGGUAACAUUAGUUUGAUCAAUGCCUUCAACUACUAGUAGACUUUAUCUGGAAAGCAGUUUUCUGAAAUGAGCACUUAGUAAAUCUGUCCACAAUCAAACCAAGAACAUAGAAAGAGGAAAUGUUUGAAGAAACAACUUGAUCUUUUAAUUUCAGACUAGAAAACACUUUAAGGCCUUUUUCUGUUUUUGCUUUUUUGAUCAUUUUAUUGUUUCUUCUGUUUAAUUUGAUCUUCUAAAGUUUAACUGGUGCCCUUUCAGAGGUUUUAUCUUUAGUUUGAUUCUCCUUAAAUGUUUAGUUUUGCUCUUUUCUCACCUUUUAUUCUGUUCUAAUGUCUGAUCUGAUUUCGAAAUGUUUUGUCUUUUUAAUGAUUAAUUAUUGUUUUUUUAAAUGUUUUAUCGGCUUGUUUGAAAAAUUUUGUUUUCUUUCCCAAUGUUUAAUUUUUCGAUUAAAUCUUUA
Amphiprion ocellaris (clown anemonefish) is the source of this 9261-nucleotide long non-coding RNA. RefSeq lists it as uncharacterized. NCBI's taxonomy places the organism in Eukaryota, Metazoa, Chordata, Actinopteri, Pomacentridae. The transcript has 3 exons. The record is from RefSeq and is a predicted model, not a curated record.